ACACGUAUGGGGCGAGCGUUGUUCGGAAUUAUUGGGCGUAAAGGGCGUGCAGGCGGACCGACAAGUCUGGUGUGAAAGACCGCAGCUUAACUGCGGGAGCGCGCUGGAAACUGUCGGACUAGAGUACCGGAGGGGAAGCUGGAAUUCCUGGUGUAGGGGUGAAAUCUGCAGAUAUCAGGAAGAACAUCGGUGGCGAAGGCGAGCUUCUGGCCGUGUACUGACGCUGAGGCGCGAAAGCGUGGGGAGCGAACAGGAUUAGAUACCCUGGUAGUCCACGCUGUAAACGAUGUGCACUAGGCGUUGGGUUGUUAAGACUCAGUGCCGGAGCUAACGCGGUAAGUGCACCGCCUGGGGAGUAUGCCCGCAAGGGUGAA
This 374-nucleotide ribosomal RNA is filed under the name uncultured bacterium. Its description in RNAcentral is "bacterial SSU rRNA". It matches the Rfam family "Bacterial small subunit ribosomal RNA", at positions 523 to 898 of the family's 1533-position model. The record is from RNAcentral.